Pelobates cultripes (western spadefoot toad) is the source of this 234-nucleotide non-coding RNA. The record is from the annotation of a GenBank genome assembly. NCBI's taxonomy places the organism in Eukaryota, Metazoa, Chordata, Amphibia, Anura, Pelobatidae.
CCAUUGUUUGUUAAUAAAACUGCUUUUUUUUUGUUUCUUGUCUUUUUGUGUUUUUUGUUUUUUUAAAUCUACAUUGUUAUUCAGCAAAGGAACUCAUCUCUAACAAUCUGUUGGAAUCAGAGGAAAUCAUUGCUUUGUAUUUGCAAGUACAUCAAUCUAUUCGUCAAUUCAAUUGAAUAAUAUUGUUAACCAAUCAUUUAUUUUGCUUUCUUUUCUAUUAGUACCAGUUCACCC